GAUGAACGCUGGCGGCGUGCCUAAUACAUGCAAGUCGAGCGAACAGACGAGGAGCUUGCUCCUCUGCCGUUAGCGGCGGACGGGUGAGUAACACAUGGAUAACCUACCUAUAGGACUGGGAUAACUUCGGGAAACCUGAGCUAAUACAGGAUAAUCUAUUGAACCGCAUGGUUCAAUAGUGAAAGACAGUUUUGUUAUCACUUAUAGAUCGAUCCGCGCCGCAUUAGCUAGUUGGUAAGGUAACGGCUUACCAAGGCAACGAUGCGUAGCCGACCUGAGAGGGUGAUCGGCCACACUGGAACUGAGACACGGUCCAGACUCCUACGGGAGGCAGCAGUAGGGAAUCUUCCGCAAUGGGCGAAAGCCUGAUGGAGCAACGCCGCGUGAGUGAAGAAGGUCUUCGGAUCGUAAAACUCUGUUAUUAGGGAAGAAAAAAUGUGUAAGUAACUAUGCACGUCUUGACGGUACCUAAUCAGAAAGCCACGGCUAACUACGUG
This 497-nucleotide ribosomal RNA is filed under the name uncultured bacterium. RNAcentral's name for it is "partial 16S ribosomal RNA". It matches the Rfam family "Bacterial small subunit ribosomal RNA", at positions 28 to 507 of the family's 1533-position model. The record is from RNAcentral.